UUAAACGGCAACGGUAUCCUAACCGUGCAAAGGUAGCAUAAUCACUUGUCCCCUAAAUAGGGACUAGAAUGAACGGUUAAAUGAGGACCUCACUGUCUCUUACAUUUGACCAAUAAACCUGAUCUUUCAGUCCAAAAGCUGAAAUAAACUCAUAAGACGAGAAGACCCUGUGGAGCUUUUUAAACCAAGCCCAUAAAACUUAAUGUAAGCCUUGGUUUUUAGUUGGGGCGACUUUGGAGUACAAAAAACCCUCCAACCACGGAACUAACCCUCUAGAUAUACACAUCAAAAGCAUACCCCCUAGACCCAGUAGCUUUAAUAAACUACCUGAUCUACGAACCAAGUUACCCCAGGGAUAACAGCGCCAUCCUCUUCUAGAGUUCCUAUCGACAAGAGGGUUUACGACCUCGAUGUUGGAUCAGGACACCCCUAUAGUGCAGCCGCUAUAAAAGGUUCGUUUGUUCAACGACUAAGGUCCUACGUGAUCU
RNAcentral lists this ribosomal RNA (488 nucleotides) under Meroles anchietae. RNAcentral describes it as "partial 16S ribosomal RNA". It matches the Rfam family "Archaeal large subunit ribosomal RNA", at positions 2000 to 2675 of the family's 2987-position model. Lineage: Eukaryota; Metazoa; Chordata; Lepidosauria; Squamata; Lacertidae. The record is from RNAcentral.